AUUGAACGCUGGCGGCAUGCUUUACACAUGCAAGUCGAACGGCAGCGCGGGCUUCGGCCUGGCGGCGAGUGGCGAACGGGUGAGUAAUGCAUCGGAACGUGCCCAGUAGUGGGGGAUAGCCCGGCGAAAGCCGGCUUAAUACCGCAUACGACCUGAUGGUGAAAGCGGGGGACCGAAAGGCCUCGCGCUAUUUGAUCGGCCGUUGUCGGAUUAGCUAGUUGGUGGGGUAAAGGCUUACCAAGGCGACGAUCCGUAGCUGGUCUGAGAGGACGACCAGCCACACUGGGACUGAGACACGGCCCAGACUCCUACGGGAGGCAGCAGUGGGGAAUUUUGGACAAUGGGGGCAACCCUGAUCCAGCCAUGCCGCGUGCGGGAAGAAGGCCUUCGGGUUGUAAACCGCUUUUGUUCGGGAAGAAAUCCUCUGGGCUAAUACCCCGGGGGGAUGACGGUACCGGAAGAAUAAGCACCGGCUAACUACGUG
RNAcentral lists this ribosomal RNA (484 nucleotides) under uncultured bacterium. RNAcentral describes it as "partial 16S ribosomal RNA". It matches the Rfam family "Bacterial small subunit ribosomal RNA", at positions 28 to 507 of the family's 1533-position model. The record is from RNAcentral.